Long non-coding RNA from Salvelinus sp. IW2-2015, 429 nucleotides. RefSeq lists it as uncharacterized. The record is from RefSeq and is a predicted model, not a curated record. Lineage: Eukaryota; Metazoa; Chordata; Actinopteri; Salmoniformes; Salmonidae.
CUGGGUUCCUGUGGUGGGGGUGGGGGCUGUCCUGACUGUUGGAGCUCUUCUACUCACCAUCUACUGCUGUAUGAAGAMGAGAUCCACAGGAGGAAGUGAUGCCACAGCAGACACACAGAAUGUGAGGGAUUCCCCAGUGACACAGCCCCUCAGAAAGAUGCUGAGCCCUCCGAUUAUCAGAACUGAAGAGAACGACCACAGAACCUGGAAUGAAGAGAACAACCACAGAACCUGGACUGAAGAGAACCACCACAGAACCUGGACUGAACAGAACCACCACAUACCCUAGACUGAAGAGAACCACCACAGAAACUGGACUGAAGAAAACCACCACAGAACAUGGACUGAACAGAACCACCUCAUAACUUGGACUGAAGAGAACCACCACAGAACCUGGACUGAAGAGACCCACCACAGAACAUGGACUGA